Cydia amplana is the source of this 399-nucleotide long non-coding RNA. RefSeq lists it as uncharacterized. NCBI's taxonomy places the organism in Eukaryota, Metazoa, Arthropoda, Insecta, Lepidoptera, Tortricidae. The record is from RefSeq and is a predicted model, not a curated record. The transcript is spliced from 2 exons.
AAUUAAUCCAGCGAAAAAUGAAGUAAAAGGACGCAGAGUGGCGUGAGAACGACGGUCUCCCGAAAUAUGUGGCGAAGGAUACCACGCAAUCUGCACGUGACGCGCGAACUGCCGGAAUUACUCGCUUCUAACUUAAGCAGCGUGGCAUGUUAGGGUGACCGCACACUAAAGCCGAUGGAGAAAUAAUUGACCUCCAACUGCGAGGUGACGUAAAAAUUAAAUGUGCGCAGACUUUAUUUAGUUUAAUAACCGGACAAGUGUAUAAAUUAUCCGUAUUAAAGUGGAACAAAUUAUCUGUCACGAAAACAACUUGUUUAUUAAUUACAGAAAGAGCUACUGUAAACAUCGUUGUGUAAUUAAUUGAGCCAAGUGUUGUUAAUUUGAUAUUUAUUAUAUGUU